AAUGUAAUUGACAAUUUCAAUCAUUUUUGACACGAUAUUUUUUAGCUUGACUUACAUUUGUGUCUAUAACUCAAAUAUAUUGCUACGUGUAUUACCUAUGUCAAUGAAGAUGGCAAUAACGUAGCUGUCCAACAAUACACUUCGAGGAAAUCCAACAAAACAAACAAAUCGACACCCACUUCACAACAAAAUCAAUAAAUCACAAGACUGUACCGACCGCUUCUAUCAAACGAACUAAAACCAAAUAAAAAAGAUCCAUGUUGUUCACGAGACACUGCACGAGCGGUCGCUUCCAAGAGGCCCGCAAACAAAAUGGUGAAUGUUUUCCUGUAAACUGUACUGGCGUGCUGUAAUUGGCUGCGGUCGAGUGAGCACACGGCGAAACGAAAGCGUCGGCCGCCACAGCCGCUGCACUCCCAAAACGCUGUUACGUAACUACUGCAAGUACAUCCUCCGAAAACCGUUCCAGAAACCUGCAGGAAUACCGAAGAUCGAAGGGGCGGCCAUGAAAAACGUGUCGCAGAGAUGACUCACCGCGCGCACCAGCGCCCUCUACAACCCCCCCCCCCCCUCUGCAUUGGAGAUCGCAGAUCGGUAUCCGAGAAAAAUACAACCAAAGCCCCUAACCUUGAGCACUGCACUAGCUUGGGUAAUUGAUUACAAAUGACCCGCUACGGACUUACCCGAAUCGCCUUGCGGUCGUGAACUAUUGUGGCAAUAAUGAGAGGUUCUGUUUGUUGUGUCACCAGAGCUGAGUGCUCAGUCAAGUUGCAGCGUCGGCCGACAUGGCGGGUCGGGUGACGAGCGCGGUGCGACUGCGGGUCGACACCGAAGUCGCCGGAGAGACCAGGGCCGGGCAUGCGCAGGACUUCCUGGCCAGCCUUCGAUUUAACUUCGGAUGCGCAAAGGAACCAACGCGCAUCGGACACAGCAAAUAACAAAUCCACACAAACGCUAUGACUCUAUUCCUUAUGAAGUAUGAAAGACAGUACUAAGAGCAUUUUUAUUUUUUAGAUUCCAUACUAAUUUGAAAAUUUA
Long non-coding RNA from Bombyx mori (domestic silkworm), 1038 nucleotides. RefSeq lists it as uncharacterized. Lineage: Eukaryota; Metazoa; Arthropoda; Insecta; Lepidoptera; Bombycidae. The transcript has 2 exons. The record is from RefSeq and is a predicted model, not a curated record.